RNAcentral lists this ribosomal RNA (505 nucleotides) under uncultured bacterium. Its description in RNAcentral is "partial 16S ribosomal RNA". It matches the Rfam family "Bacterial small subunit ribosomal RNA", at positions 28 to 507 of the family's 1533-position model. The record is from RNAcentral.
GACGAACGCUGGCGGCGUGCCUAAUACAUGCAAGUAGAACGCACAGUUUAUACCGUAGCUUGCUACACCAUAGACUGUGAGUUGCGAACGGGUGAGUAACGCGUAGGUAACCUGCCUGGUAGCGGGGGAUAACUAUUGGAAACGAUAGCUAAUACCGCAUAAUAUUAAUUAUUGCAUGAUAAUUAAUUGAAAGGUGCAAUUGCACCACUACCAGAGGGACCUGCGUUGUAUUAGCUAGUAGGUGAGGUAACGGCUCACCUAGGCGACGAUACAUAGCCGACCUGAGAGGGUGAUCGGCCACACUGGGACUGAGACACGGCCCAGACUCCUACGGGAGGCAGCAGUAGGGAAUCUUCGGCAAUGGACGAAAGUCUGACCGAGCAACGCCGCGUGAGUGAAGAAGGUUUUCGGAUCGUAAAGCUCUGUUGUAAGAGAAGAACGGGUGUGAGAGUGGAAAGUUCACACUGUGACGGUAUCUUACCAGAAAGGGACGGCUAACUACGUG